Molecule: ribosomal RNA, 178 nt
Filed under: uncultured bacterium
Lineage: Bacteria
Description: partial 16S ribosomal RNA
Rfam family: Bacterial small subunit ribosomal RNA
Source: RNAcentral
ACUCCUACGGGAGGCAGCAGUGGGGAAUUUUCCGCAAUGGGCGAAAGCCUGACGGAGCAAUACCGCGUGAGGGAAGACUGCCUAUGGGUUGUAAACCUCUUUUUUCAGGGAGGAAUAAAAUGACGUGUACCUGAAGAAUAAGCAUCGGCUAACUCCGUGCCAGCAGCCGCGGUAAUAC